Long non-coding RNA from Lagopus muta (rock ptarmigan), 361 nucleotides. RefSeq lists it as uncharacterized. The transcript is spliced from 3 exons. The record is from RefSeq and is a predicted model, not a curated record. Lineage: Eukaryota; Metazoa; Chordata; Aves; Galliformes; Phasianidae.
CUGGGCUCUCUUACUUUUUUGAAGAUGUUUCCUAACUUGAAUGAAUUCAAAGAGCUGAAAAUCAAGUAACUAUAUGAUUAAAUGAACACAAGAAAAAUUGAAGAAUUGAAAUAUGGAGCACCAAUUCUUUGAAGAAAAGAAAUAGGCAAUUCCACAAUCUGUCCUACUGAAGAAGAGGCUAUUUCUCAGGCGAAAGGUGUGUUGUCAACUACAGGAUUAUUGCAUGAUGAAGGACUACUUGACUGUGCAAAUAGGUUAUAAGCUUUGGCCUCUUUCAUUGGACAGCCCUCCCACAUAAGAGAUCAAACCAAACCAGAGCUGGCUGAAAUUUCUGCUAUGGAUGAGCAAAGAGAGGACAGGC